RNAcentral lists this ribosomal RNA (253 nucleotides) under uncultured bacterium. RNAcentral describes it as "partial 16S ribosomal RNA". It matches the Rfam family "Bacterial small subunit ribosomal RNA", at positions 524 to 776 of the family's 1533-position model. The record is from RNAcentral.
UACGAAGGGGGCUAGCGUUGCUCGGAAUCACUGGGCGUAAAGGGCGCGUAGGCGGACUUUUAAGUCGGAGGUGAAAGCCCAGGGCUCAACCCUGGAAUUGCCUUCGAUACUGGGAGUCUUGAGUUCGGAAGAGGUUGGUGGAACUGCGAGUGUAGAGGUGAAAUUCGUAGAUAUUCGCAAGAACACCAGUGGCGAAGGCGGCCAACUGGUCCGAUACUGACGCUGAGGCGCGAAAGCGUGGGGAGCAAACAGG